UACGUAGGGUGCGAGCGUUGUCCGGAAUUAUUGGGCGUAAAGAGCUCGUAGGCGGUCUGUCGCGUCUGCUGUGAAAUCCCGAGGCUCAACCUCGGGCUUGCAGUGGGUACGGGGCAGGCUAGAGUGCGGGUAGGGGAGAAUGGAACUCCUGGUGUAGCGGUGGAAUGCGCAGAUAUCAGGAGGAACACCGGUGGCGAAGGCGGGUCUCUGGGCCGGUUACUGACGCUGAGGAGCGAAAGCGUGGGGAGCGAACAGG
This 256-nucleotide ribosomal RNA is filed under the name uncultured bacterium. RNAcentral describes it as "partial 16S ribosomal RNA". It matches the Rfam family "Bacterial small subunit ribosomal RNA", at positions 524 to 776 of the family's 1533-position model. The record is from RNAcentral.